Molecule: long non-coding RNA, 690 nt
Organism: Homo sapiens (human)
Lineage: Eukaryota; Metazoa; Chordata; Mammalia; Primates; Hominidae
Exons: 3
Source: RefSeq, a predicted model, not a curated record
GGGAAGCUGAGACAGUCAGUACUUGCAGAACAGGUGCUUCUCUUUUAGAUGUGGAAAUUCAAGCCACUGAAAAAAAAUUUAGAAGAGACCUGUGGAACAGUGGACUUCUGGGCUGACCCAAGCACAGACUGUACACAUCAGACAAUUUGGAAAGCACCUGGCAGUCACUGUGGAGAAGGAUCUCUGAUUAGCUUGCUGCCGGUCCACUGAUGAUGCUCACCUGCAGGACUCAGCCCACCCAAUUUCUACCUGGAUCUUGUACUGGGGUGUGGGUGCCCCCCGCAGGAUUGCUUCCCCCAGGGGUCUGUGCUGAGGUACAAGAUCACCAGACUUACCUAGGGCAAAUGAAAGAAGUACAGCCAGGCAGGAUCUGAACUGUAUUGACCAGGGAAGUGAAAGUCAAAACUGUAGAGGUGGUUCCAAGCAUCAAGUUUGGUGAAGGAUGAGGUGAGAUGUCAACAGCAAGAUGCAUCAGCAGAGCAGAAGGAAGAAGGAAGCAGAACCCAAGGCAGCUUGAGGCAAGUUGACCAGAAGAGAGGAUAUGAAAUGGAUGGACGUGUCAGAGGUCCAUUUCUACUUGACGGAGACAAAUCCUCAAGGAGACAUUGUAAUUUCCUUUGAAAUAUUGGAAAGCAGCAAUCAUGUGGACUGUAGAGUAAGACGGGCCAGGAUGGAAUCCCAGUCAGGCUU